AGUUUGAUCCUGGCUCAGGAUGAACGCUAGCUACAGGCUUAACACAUGCAAGUCGAGGGGCAGCAUGAACUUAGCUUGCUAAGUUUGAUGGCGACCGGCGCACGGGUGAGUAACACGUAUCCAACCUUCCGUUUACUCAGGGAUAGCCUUUCGAACGAAAGAUUAAUACCUGAUAGUAUGGUGAGAUUGCAUGAUAACACCAUUAAAGAUUUAUUGGUAAACGAUGGGGAUGCGUUCCAUUAGGUAGUAGGCGGGGUAACGGCCCACCUAGCCUGCGAUGGAUAGGGGUUCUGAGAGGAAGGUCCCCCACAUUGGAACUGAGACACGGUCCAAACUCCUACGGGAGGCAGCAGUGAGGAAUAUUGGUCAAUGGGCGAGAGCCUGAACCAGCCAAGUAGCGUGAAGGAUGAAGGUCCUACGGAUUGUAAACUUCUUUUAUACGGGAAUAAAGUUUCCUACGUGUAGGAUUUUGUAUGUACCGUAUGAAUAAGCAUCGGCUAACUCCGUGCCAGCAGCCGCGGUAAUACGGAGGAUGCGAGCGUUAUCCGGAUUUAUUGGGUUUAAAGGGAGCGCAGACGGGAGAUUAAGUCAGUUGUGAAAGUUUGCGGCUCAACCGUAAAAUUGCAGUUGAUACUGGUUUCCUUGAGUGCAGUUGAGGCAGGCGGAAUUCGUGGUGUAGCGGUGAAAUGCUUAGAUAUCACGAAGAACCCCGAUUGCGAAGGCAGCUUGCUAAACUGUAACUGACGUUCAUGCUCGAAAGUGUGGGUAUCAAACAGGAUUAGAUACCCUGGUAGUCCACACGGUAAACGAUGGAUACUCGCUGUUGGCGAUAUACUGUCAGCGGCCAAGCGAAAGCAUUAAGUAUCCCACCUGGGGAGUACGCCGGCAACGGUGAAACUCAAAUGAAUUGACGG
This 914-nucleotide ribosomal RNA is filed under the name uncultured bacterium. RNAcentral's name for it is "bacterial SSU rRNA". It matches the Rfam family "Bacterial small subunit ribosomal RNA", at positions 10 to 916 of the family's 1533-position model. The record is from RNAcentral.